Molecule: ribosomal RNA, 451 nt
Filed under: uncultured bacterium
Lineage: Bacteria
Description: partial 16S ribosomal RNA
Rfam family: Bacterial small subunit ribosomal RNA
Source: RNAcentral
AACGAACGCUGGCGGCAGGCCUAACACAUGCAAGUCGAACGGGUGUAGCAAUACAUCAGUGGCAGACGGGUGAGUAACACGUGGGAACCUUCCUAGAGGUACGGAACAACUCAGGGACACUUGAGCUAAUACCGUAUACGCUCUUGCGAGGAAAGAUUUAUCGCCUUUAGACGGGCCCGCGUCGGAUUAGCUAGUUGGUGGGGUAACGGCCUACCAAGGCGACGAUCCGUAGCUGAUCUGAGAGGAUGAUCAGCCACACUGGGACUGAGACACGGCCCAGACUCCUACGGGAGGCAGCAGUGGGGAAUCUUGGACAAUGGGCGCAAGCCUGAUCCAGCCAUGCCGCGUGAGUGAAGAAGGCCUUCGGGUUGUAAAGCUCUUUUGUCAGGGACGAUAAUGACGGUACCUGAAGAAUAAGCCCCGGCUAACUUCGUGCCAGCCGCCGCGGUAA